This 8226-nucleotide long non-coding RNA is filed under the name Triticum aestivum (bread wheat). RNAcentral describes it as "long non-coding RNA (TAES_LNC014303)". Lineage: Eukaryota; Viridiplantae; Streptophyta; Magnoliopsida; Poales; Poaceae. The record is from RNAcentral.
UCACAUCCCUAGCUUCUGGUACUGCCUGGUGUUUUGCAUCUUGUUGCAUCAUGUUUAAAUUCUAUUUGAAUUUGAAAUGGGGAUUGAUCAAACCCUAGCACUUUGAAAUUCAAUUAGGUCUAGUAAAAAAAUGCUUUCAAUGAACCAAAGUACCCUUCAUCAUGUUUGCUAUUUUUGGCAAGGCUUUGGUUCCAAACCAAAAAUAUUGAACAUUUUUAAGAAAUAUUUUGGGAACUGAAAUUAAAUCAUAUUGUAUUUGAAUUUGAAUUUAUAUUCCUAAUAUAUAGAAUAUAUUUUCAAAUGUAUCAGAAAUAUUUGUGUGCACUUGGAAAAGUCCAUAUAAGCCACAUUGGUAUUAGAGAAAGUUUUGGCACUGAUUCGAACUUGUUUUGAGUUUAAACAGUGGCAAAACAAAACAAAAUAGAAAAACAGAAUAGAAAAACAAACAGAAGCAAACAAAAUAGAGAGAGAGAGAGAGAGUUUAUCUAGCAGCCCACUUACCUGGCCCAACUCCUCUAGCCGGCCCAGCCGAUUGGCGACGCCAGUCGUCCUCCUCCUCGAGCCAGAAGGACGAGCACGCCUGCGCGCCCGAGAGCGCCACGCCACCAGGGCGUCUGCCUAUGUCCCCAGGCCAGCUCGACACCGCGGCCGACCUCCUUUGUGCCGUCCCGAUUGCUCUGACCCUCUCACUCUCCCCCCUGCUCUGUCCCUCGCCUCUGCCGCCAUGGCCAAUUCUCCCGCGAGCUUGCUGUCGUCGCCCGCGUAGCCACCGCCUCCCCCUUGCUUCUCCGACCAUGUCCAGAGCUCCGCAACGACUUAAGGCUACUCCACGACAAAGUAGGCGAGCCCGGAGGCACCGCAGCGACGCCAUCACCGUCUUGUCCACCACCGGUCACCGGACCUUCCCGUCAUCGAUUCGCUGGCUCUAGGGACCUACUACUCCGCCUCCCUGUGAGCUCACGAAUCUUUCCCCUCUAGCGCCGCUAUCAUUUUCGUCCUCUAACUCGCCUAGCCGCCGGAGCCGUGAGCUCUUCGCUGCUGGCCUCGAUGCUGUCGUGCCCACAGCCGCCGCCGCUUGCGUCCAAGCACUGGAACAUGCUCAGGACCUCCCAAGAAACCCAAUGCCACCACCCAAGCCUCCCUCCGUGCACCCUAGCAUGGUCCUCACUGACCGAACUCUGGCCGCCGCCACGGGCUCAGUUCCGGUGAGCUCAGGCCACCCCAGCUCCUCCCAUUCGCUCCACCAGAUGCGCGAGAACCACAGCUUGCCCUAGCCGCAAACCGCGCCCUAAAUGGUGCUCUGUAGCGCGAUCCCGACUCCCUCCGCUGUGGAUUUGGUCGCUGGCGGCUAAACACCGGCAGCUGACGUGGCCGUCAUUAGCUUGAGGCUUAUUAACAUGUUAAUCUCGCCCUGUGCCACUAACAGACCGGCCCCACCCCCCAGUUAACCGUGGGGUAAACCCCUGUUAAAUUUUAACCUAACCAACGUGGACCCACACGUCAGUUGACCCGCUGACGUCACCGUUGACUGCCCCAUCUGUCUGUGACUCGAGCCAGCAUUGUGAGACUGACCAGUGGGACCCACUGGUCAGGUUUGACCUGGACCCAUUCUGUUGACCUGCUGAGGUCAGCAUGACAUAGUGCUGACGCAAUAAGCUAUUUUCUGGGUUUAAUUUAAUCCAGGAAAUUCCAGAAAAUGUUUUAAACUUCUAAAAAUCAUAUAAAAUCAACCAUAACUCCAAAUGAAAUAAUUUAUAUAUGAAAAAUUAUCAGAAAAAUCCAAUCUAUCCAUUUAUGCUAUUUUCAUGCAUGUUAGAACAACUUAAGGCCACUGUUUAGGACAAAUCAAAUGAAUGAUAUUUAAAUAACCACAUGUGGAGUUUGAAUUUGAACUUUGGGUUCAAACCAACUUCAUUUAAAUGUGUUGCUAGUUGCAUUAGCUCAAUCAACAACACAUUGCCAUGUCAUUAUCAUGCAUCAAGUUGUGCAUUGCAUUAAUUGUGUUCCUUCUCUGUUGCCGGUGGUUGUCACCUCUCGAUAGAUGUUGUACCAACGCUGUGAUCGUUGACACUGAUGAAGACCCAAUGAUAUCUUCAGAAGUGCCAGGCAAGCAAAACCCCCUUGUUCAUUCCGAUACAAUCCUACUCUCUCGCUCCUGCUCUCUUUUACUGCAUUAGUACAACAACGAUUCAACUGUUACAUGCUGCGGUAGUUGAACCCCUUUCCCCUGCAUGACCUAUCAUUGCCACAGUAAAUAGAUCAAACCCACUAGCAUGAGUAGGAAUUGUUUGAGCCCUGAUGUGCCUACUCAUUCAUGAUUGUUGUCAUUCCUGCUACUGCUUAGAGUUGAGUCAAGUCUGAUUCAUCGGGAAUGAAUUGGAACGUGGUGAACAUGUCCUACCAUUGAGAGCUAAGUGUGUGAACACGAUUUGGUAAAGAUAGUGGUGAGAGGCCAUGUAGGAGUACAUGGUGGGUUGUCUCAUUGCAGCCGUCCUUAGGAACCGAGUUCUGUGUUUGUGAUCCAUGAACAACUACUACCAUGCAUUGGAAUGCUUAAGUGCCCCUCUCGACUUAUUAAUCAACCUGAUCUCUUUCUAGGAGUUGCAACUAGUUUCUGGUGUUUGUAGGUAGUGUUAGUAGUCUACCAAGUGGCACCCGGUACAGGUGGGCUUGGUACAGACUAGGCACAGUGGCCCGGUGUACAAAGUGGCACCCGGAUGGUGGGCUUGGGAACCCUGUACACAUCGUUUGGGGCCGUGAGCGACACCCCGGCCGGAUCUCCUUGCGGAUGGAACCUGAAUAGGCGAUAAACCUGGACUAGAGACUUGUUGGUUAGUCAAGUCAUGGCCGACUCCCUCGCCAGGCUUCCGCUUGAAGGUUGCCGAGAUACACAACAUGUACAUGGUGGUAAGUGGCGAGAGCGUGUGUGAAGAAGUACACCCCUGUAGGGUUAUCAUUAUCUAUUUGAAUAGUUGGAUUCCUCGGAUAUGGAAACUUGGACCACUUGCAUAGUUCAUAGACAAGUGAAAGUGGAUACUCUAAAAUGCGCAAGAUAAGUGUGAGUGCUAUGGAUGGCGUUCUCGCAGGGAGACGGGAGCGGAUCCAUAGUGGUGUAUUGGUAUGGUGAAUUUGUGGACUCGUGUGCGCCACCUCAAAAGAGUUACUUGCAGUCAUAGUUCAGGUUAGCCACCGAGUCAAAGCUGGCUUGCUGCAGUUAACUCCACCACCCCUUUGUUGAUACCGAUGCAUAUGUAGAUAGUUCUGAUAUAAGUCUUGCUGGGUACAUUGUACUCAUGUUUGCUUAUUUUAUGUUUUGCAGAGAGACUUCAGUCUCGCUAGUAGUUCCGCUUGGACUUCGACGUUUAGCUUGUUACCUCAGCUACGAUCUUGUACCCUUGGGAGGGUCUUGUAUAUAGUUAGGCUUCUGAGCCUUCUUCAUUUGUAGUUUUCUGUACUCAGACAAGUUAAGCUUCCGCAUGUGCUUGUUGCUUGUAUGCUCUGAAUGUUGGGUCAUGAGACCCAUGUUUGUAAUAUCUCGCUCCUCGGAGCCUAAUGAGUAAAUACUUUGAGUCGUAGAGUCUUGUUGUGAUGCCAUGUUGUAUUGCACAUAUUGAGCAUAUUGUGUGUAUGAUUGAAAUGCUUGGUAUGUAUGGGAUCCGACAACCUAGUUGUUUAUCCUUGGUAGCCUCUCUUAUGGGAAAAUGUAGUCUUGUGCUUCCAUGAGCCAUAGUAGUCCGCUACAGCCCGGUUCACCGGAGUCCUACUAGCCCAGCACUACUGCUCUGGAACACUUGACUGGCCAGCAUGUGAUUCACUUUGUUCCUGUGUCUGUCCCUUCGGGGAAAUGUCACGCAGUGACAUCCGGAGUUCUGCCUAGCCUGCUACAGCCCGGUUCGCCGGAGUCCUGCUAGCCCAGUGCUACAGCCCGGAUUCGCAAGCUGCUGACCGACAUGCUCGAAGUUGAUUCAUGUAUGCCUGUCCCCAUAAGUUGGUGCCACUUUGGGUUCACGACUAGUCAUGUCGGCCCGGGUUCUCUGUCAUAUGGAUGCUAGCGACACUAUCAUAUACGUGAGCCAAAAGGCGCAAACGGUCCCGGGCCAUGGUAAGGCGACACCCGUGGGAAUACCGUGCGUGAGGCCGCAAAGUGAUAUGAGGUUUUACAGGCUAGAUCGGUGUGAAUUAGAAUCGGGGUCCUGACAGCUUUGGUAUCAGAGCCUGACUGCAUGUAGGAUUACCAAGCCAAGCUAGUUGUAGUCGUGUCUAGAAAUGCUUUAGUUAUAUAAGGGAAUUGAUUGUGGGAGGAAACGUAAGGCUCUUUUACUCCUUAUCCUCAUGACCUUCUGAUCUGAGUCAUCUUAUCUUUUCUACGGGGUUAAGAACUAGGCUUCACUUCUGUCUCUCAGGAUGACGUGUUACUAAACCGUAGUUGCCUAGGAUUGUUGAUUUCAAGCCUCAAUUCAGUUCCUACUACUUCCAUAUGUUCAUAGCUGGCCUCAGUACCUUGGGUUUGUGAUGCUGAGUGGCUAUGCCGCCAUAUUUGCAGGUUGUCUCAAAUCUUUUCGAGCAUUUAUAGCCGUUAUGCUGUCCGAGUCAUUCCAGGUUUCUAAAUAAUCUGAUGCAUUUGCAAAUCCUUCCUCCGUUCCCGAUGUCCUUUUGGUCAGAAUAAGCACACUAGCCAGUGAGUUGAGGUACUCUGUUGCCUCGACAUAUAUGUUGGAGCUAUUAUUAUGACCCUAGGUGUCUUAGAGAGUCACCUAGUAAUCUAGCAAUGCUUUGUAUUCCCGGUGUGAUGAUUCUGGCCAUUGUUCUCGAAAGCAUCCCAUGAUGCCAUUUAUUAGUAGGUAUUCUACUCUUGGGUUCCUGACCCAAGAUUCACUCCACUUACCUUCUGUUGAUAGUGUUUGCUAGUUCGUUUAGAAUAUUAGUAACCUUUGCGAUACUCCUCGAGGUCUGUGGUAUUUCCUUCUUCCAAAUACCAUGAACUGCUUAUGGCAGAAGUUCUUUUGAACCAAAAGAUCACAACCAAAGUGCUCUUGAGGAGUUCUCCAUUCUAAAUUGUGACUCUACCAGUUCUACCUUUCUGCAUGGGUUAUCCGGAAGAAAUAUGUUGAACUCGUUCGACAUACUAAUCUAUGCAUCCACAACUCAGAAAGUUAUAUGUUCCUUUGAGUUGUCCCCCUUCAGUUAUAUUCCGACCUUCAUCUAUCAGUUGAUAGUCAAGAGUAUGUGAGCAUUCGUUCAUUGGUGCUUAUCGUACUUGUGGUCCGUCAAGCCACUCUAGUUCAAAAUGACUAGGAGAAACAAACUCUGGUACCUUAUCCAUUUCUUGGAUUAGGUCAAAUAGUUGUAUUCCGCAGAUUAAAUGCCAACCCAACUUUUGAUUAUGUUCUACCCUGAAGUAUUACCGUCUUAUGUCAAGAAUGUCAUGAGAAUUGCACCACCUCUUAUGAAUUGUUGACGCAGUGAUACUUCUUGCCAUCAUUAUUCAUUCCUCGAUUCCCGUGUUGUGGUAACCAGAAUACCGACAAGGGAAUCAUAAUGUGUGCAAUCAAUACUCCUAGCAACCCCGUUGCUUGGUAGUUAAUGCACAAUAAUCUCAUUCUUAGCGUGUUGGUUGUUGAAUCAUCACCGUAAGAUUGAUCAUGCUACCUAGUCCUUGUUUCUGGUGCACCCUUCGAUUGAUGAGUUAGGAUUUUGUCAAAUCCUUGCUCAUUUGAUCAUAUCGUCCUGCCCUAAAAAGCAAGAUUGUUCUCGAUCUUAUUAACAUAUCGGCGGUUCAUGAUUUUCCGGUUAUCUUCACGGAAGUAUCACUAGGUCGUCCCCUGACCGAUAUGUGGAGUUCGUGAUCAAGUUGGUUUCUUGUAAACUAGCCAUUCUCCAAGAAUCUGUGUUGGAUACCCCUGAGCUAGUUGGUGAAGCUAAACAACAACUUGGAGAGUUGGAAGAUAAAAGCUUGUCUGACUUAGUUCGUGUUAAGGGAUAUCUUUUGUGUGUGUGUGUGUUGAAGAAAGAUGAUAUCUUCAUCGAUUGGUCCUCGUGAUUAGUUGUUGGAUCUAUUGUCUUGUCCAAACUUUGAUUUGAGUGCCGGCUAUCAUCAAAUCAAAUCAGAACCAACGAUGUUCAUAAUCUUGUCUUACUCGUGGUUGAUCCCUCGAGCAUACACCAUUAUAUAUUUUGGGUCUGACCAAUGUUAUCAUCUUGUUCACAUAACCAUGUAACCCCAUCUUAUGGAAAUCUUGAUAAAUUGUUGUUGAGCCCAUCGACAACGUCUUUAUCUUCUUCGUGAUUCAUGUUGAACAUUAAGCUAGUGUUGGAAACUUUUGAAGGCAUUUCUUCAUGCUAGGUCAUGAAGCAUAUGUUUGGAUGGAAGAAGUGACUGCCUCUAAUACAUGUGCAUUGAAGCAAGUUGCCUUCGUGAAUUCGAGAAAGUCAAUGUGGUUUCCUCUAGAAUCAUCCCAAGUCAGCCAUGUACGUGCAAAAUAUUCUGUGGUAUGUUAGACUGAUCAUCUUCAUUCCAUAUGAAUUCCAUAGCACACUAAGCCACUGAUUGAUUUGUUCAAGGAGAAGAAGUUCCUUCUUAAGAGCUAAUCCGGACUUAUGCAAGGACUUUGAUAUCCUCGAUGAUGGUUCCUGACCUGAACUUCGGUAGUGUUUUAUUAUAAGACUACUAUGUGGUCAUGCUUGUCUUGGACAGUGUGUUCACAUGUUUGUAGCAGAACCAGCUCAUGUUUUGGAGCUUACUACCAUAGUCCAUUUCCCGAGAAUCCUGCAACAUCAUCUCGUCGACUUGUGUUGCAAACUUUCGUUUUUCUCUCUAGACUUGAUGAGUCUGGAAUAUCCUGACACCAACCAGAUCUGAAUCUCAGGCAGAUAUGAUGGUUGGACCUUUUCCCAGGAAUUAUAAUGUUGGUCUUUCUAAACUAGUAAGGUGGAUGUCGUGGCCAACACACCCAGCCGGAAGACCUAUCAUUGUAGUAUCUUGAUUGAGGAAGUUGGCCACCUCCCCAUAAGGAUUUCGUAGAAUUUACUCCAGUAGUUAUUCCUUAUGGAUUCUUGUGCUCCCGAAGUCCGACCUUUUACUUGAUGUCCUAGAUACCAAACCAUAUCAAUAAAUGGGUUAUCCUAGCACAUCAAGGAGAACAUUAGAAGCGGAGUGCUAAAUGCCUCUCGGUCGAUCAUCCAAAUUUUGAUCCCUUGGCCUCGCUAAGGUGAACUCUGAGAAGGUGUUAUCUUCCUUUGCAUCUGCAUCGUCCAUCACUAUUCAUCAUGGUAGUAUGUUGUGUUGCCAGGAUCCUUGACACGGAUGUUGGUAGAACCUUGAUGAAUAUGGAAAUGCUCAAGCUCUUGAGAGCACGCGCAAGCAAAAUCACUCAUUGCGUUGUCUUCAACAAGGUAGUCCACAUCAUCCAUUCUAGUCUGGGUAUGCCAUCCCUACUUACUCCGCUUCAACGAGCCACCUACUCUAGCUGCCCCGUUAUGGAAUCAUGGCAAUUUAUCUCCUCGUUACUUUGAAAUGCAUCCACCAUCCUUUCAAGCGUGGGAUUGUUGCCUACCAAAUUGAACCUUCGUCAUCUGCUUCUCCAUAACCCUCCUGAUGCGUGACUUGUGUCUCGGCUCAAGAGACGUUCUUUCGCCUCAUUCCAUGAGUUGAUCGUGUAUCGCUUGAUCUUUGUGAAGAUCGAAUUCUGUCGAGUUUCCUCUGUUCCGUCAGCAUAGUUGGAUGAAGAUCUCAAAAGCAAGGAUGUCAAGAUCAAUUUAAAGGAAUAAAUCAACAUCUUCGAGAAGGACAGUUUGGAUCAUGAGAUCGUGUUAUCUUUGUGUCCCCUCCUUCUACUUACCUCACGUCUUGAAUCUCGGGACGAGAUUCUUGUUUAGUAGGGGUGAGUUGUCACAUCCCUAGCUUCUGGUACUGCCUGGUGUUUUGCAUCUUGUUGCAUCAUGUUUAAAUUCUAUUUGAAUUUGAAAUGGGGAUUGAUCAAACCCUAGCACUCUGAAAUUCAAUUAGGUCUAGUAAAAAAUGCUUUCAAUGAACCAAAGUACCCUUCAUCAUGUUUGCUACAUUUGGCAAGGCCUUGGUUCCAAACCAAAAAUAUUGAACAUUUUUAAGGAAUAUUUUGGGCACUGAAAUUAAAUCAUAUUGUAUUUGAAUUUGAAUUUAUAUUCCUAAUAUAUAGAAUAUAUUUUCAAAUGUAUCAGAAAUAUUUGUGUGCACUUGGAAAAGUCCAU